Molecule: non-coding RNA, 525 nt
Organism: Nomia melanderi (Alkali bee)
Lineage: Eukaryota; Metazoa; Arthropoda; Insecta; Hymenoptera; Halictidae
Source: RefSeq, a predicted model, not a curated record
AUAAUAUUGGUUCAAUGAAUUUUAGUUUUCUUUCUUAAUGUGAUUGUUUUCUUUCUGAAUAUAACUUCCUCUAUUUCAUUUUCAUUAUUUGAUUUCGUAUUCAAUUAAUGCGAAUUUUAAUGUAAAAUUUAUUAAUCGAUUAAACACUUUAAACAACUUAACUUUAAUUUGUAUAUAACAUUUUUAUUCAUUCAAAUUUAAAUAUAUACUUAAAUGAUUCCAAAUUCGUUGACUAUAUAAAUGAAUAUACUUUAUGUGAAAUAAUAGUCAAUGUUGUUAGCACUUAAUAUUUUUUUAAAUAUAUAUUGGCAAUUGUAUUUUUAUUUACACAGUAUUGGUAGUACUACAUAUCCAAAUUUUCCAUCUUUAGUUGAAAUAUAAGUUUAAAAAGUUGUUUUUCUUUGUGGAUAUAAUACAUCAUACAUCUAUUAUUAAUAAAAAUAUUACAUCAUAUUGCUUUUUUUAUACAUGUGAAGAAGAUAAAACCUUUGUUUGAACUCUCUAUUAGUGUAAAUCAAAUACUAA